AGCAGUGAGCACAUGGCAAGGACCCAGCAGCAGGGACACGGGCACGAGCAUGUGGGUACCCCAGGUCUCACUCCCUCUAAGCAAAACCCUCUGUGCCCCAAGCUGCAGGUGCUGGCGUGACCACCCAGGAUAGCUCCCCAGGCGAGGAUGAGUGUGGGGGUGGGUGAAUGAAGGGAGGUGUGUGUGGGGUGAAGAUGGGAAGGGAGAGGGAACUUGCCCUGGGUGUGAGCUCCUGGGAAGAAAUCACUUCCCUGUGUGGAACACAAAGAUUUUGUGCCCAGUUCUGGGCUCCGCAGUACAAGAGGGGCAUAGAACUGCUGGAGACAGUCCAGAGGAUGGCUACGAAGAUGAUCAGAGGACUGGAGCUGAGAAAACAGGGCCUAAGUAGCCAGGAAAAGAGGAGACUGAGGGGAAAACUCAUCAAUGUAUAUAAAUAUCUGUGGGGAGGGUGUCGAGAGGAUGGAGCUGGUCUCUUUUCGGUUGUGCCCAGCGACAAAACGAGAGGCAAAAGGCACAAACUGAAGCAUAGGAGGUUCUGGCUCAGUAUGAGGGGGCGCUUCUUUACUGGGAGGGUGACAGAGCACUGGAACAGGCUGCCCAGAGAGGUUGUGGAGUCUCCUUCUCUGGAGAUAUUCCAAGCCCACCUGGAUGCCAUCCUGUGCAAGGUGCUCUAGGUGAUCCUGCUCAGCAGAAGGUUGGACUAGAUGACCUUCAGAGGUCCCUUCCAACCUUGGCCAUUCUGUGAUUGUGUGAUCCUCUAGCUCCCAGAAUCACAGAGAGUGGUGGUGGCAUAAUAAUUGAAGAGCCACACCUCGGCCAUGCCAUCCUUAAUUCCUCCCGAGAGCAUUUGGACACCAUAUCCAUGGGGGCCGAUGUUGGCACAGCAGCCACGGACACUUUUAUGCCUCCCCUGGGGAUGGUGCUGGCUGUCAGUGGGGAGAUGUGCCCGUGGGGCUGUGUGUCCCAAGCCCCACACAGACGUGCUCAGGCCUGUUGCAGGAUGCGUGCUACAGGUGGGGCUCAGUCUGGACAGGAACUAGGCAAGCAGACACUCAGCCUGUCCCUUUCUUCUGACAGGCAGUGUGGCCAGCUCCCCAACAAGGCCAUCGCCCCCAGCUCCCCAUGCCUGGCUCCCGCACGCCCUCCCCACAGGCACGGCGCUGGCAGUGGCGGCCGUCGGCCUCGUCCUCCUGGCUGCAGGCAGCUGGUUUGCCAUCAGGAAAGGUGCCUGCAGAGGGAGAUGCCCAAGGUGAGCACCAAGGGCUCCUGGCUGGGGGGUUUGCAGGAGGGAGUCGGGGGCACUCCAGAGCUCUGGGGUGCUCCUCGGCCAGGGGCAUUCCCUGUGCUGAAGACACGAAGGAUGGGGCUUGUCUUGGGCUGCCCUCCAGUUCAAUGCCAAAUGCAGGAAAGCAACACCAAAGUGCGUAAGCCUCAUGACCCCUCCUCAGCACACGCACACCCCAGAACCAUUCCCAUUCCUCUCCAGGCAGCAGCACGUUGA
This 1501-nucleotide long non-coding RNA is filed under the name Anser cygnoides (Swan goose). RNAcentral's name for it is "lncRNA (ENSACDG00005007198.1)". Lineage: Eukaryota; Metazoa; Chordata; Aves; Anseriformes; Anatidae. The record is from RNAcentral.